Molecule: ribosomal RNA, 398 nt
Filed under: uncultured bacterium
Lineage: Bacteria
Description: partial 16S ribosomal RNA
Rfam family: Bacterial small subunit ribosomal RNA
Source: RNAcentral
AUACGUAGGGUGCGAGCGUUGUCCGGAAUUACUGGGCGUAAAGAGCUCGUAGGUGGUUUGUCGCGUCGUCUGUGAAAUUCCGGGGCUUAACUCCGGGCGUGCAGGCGAUACGGGCAUAACUUGAGUACUGUAGGGGAGACUGGAAUUCCUGGUGUAGCGGUGAAAUGCGCAGAUAUCAGGAGGAACACCGGUGGCGAAGGCGGGUCUCUGGGCAGUAACUGACGCUGAGGAGCGAAAGCGUGGGUAGCGAACAGGAUUAGAUACCCUGGUAGUCCAUGCUGUAAACGGUGGGCGCUAGGUGUAGGGGUCUUCCACGACUUCUGUGCCGUAGCUAACGCAUUAAGCGCCCCGCCUGGGGAGUACGGCCGCAAGGCUAAAACUCAAAGGAAUUGACGGGG